Molecule: long non-coding RNA, 1269 nt
Organism: Xiphophorus couchianus (Monterrey platyfish)
Lineage: Eukaryota; Metazoa; Chordata; Actinopteri; Cyprinodontiformes; Poeciliidae
Exons: 2
Source: RefSeq, a predicted model, not a curated record
GGAGGGAGGGAGACGUGGAUGGACAUGCUUCAAUAAUAUCAGUGCGAAAGCUUUGUGAGCAGUGAUGUCAGUAACUCUAAUCUCUCCGAUUCUUUCAGUAAUAACUAAUCUAAUGCCUCAUUUCUAAUCCAGUAAUCAGAUUAGAGUUAUCCAAGUCUACUAUCGUUAUCCUUUUACUUGUUUCUUUCAUCUUGUGCCUCAAGGAGAGAUGUCUCAUGUUUAACACCAGGCAGCAACACAAACGUAAACAAUGGAGGGAGGAGAGAGAUUAGCGUUUACUUUGUGUCAGCUACCGAUGACAAUAUCAAGGCAUGUUGUCGACAAAGUGUUGCUGUAACACCCUUGAAUGCAGAGGAGACAGAAUAACGAGACUGAUUUCCUCUUCUUCUCUCAUGCAGCAGUUUAAUGCAAUAAGGAGAGAGGGCGAAAGCCCCCUAGUGGAGGAUGGAGCUACUACCAGUCGAUCCCAGAAUAGGCUUAUCAACUGAUUGCUGAUGUACAUAGCCCGAUUUCAUUUAAUAAAAUGACAUAAACAUGAAAAAAAACAACAACUUUUUUUUAGCAAUUUUUUUUACUGCAUGUACAUUUUGGGGGAAGGAGUUCUGUUGACUAAUAUGAAGUCAUAUUUAUUGUAAACCAUUUUUACAAUAAAAUGUAAGAGUUUAUUUCAUUUCAACUCUGAAAUGAAAUAACUUUUUACUACUGCUUCUGAGGGUAUAAUAAUCAUUUUAAAACUUUCCAAACCAUUUAACUACAAAAAUUCUACAUCAAGAACAACAGCAUUACAAUAUUUGAAAAAAACAUUAGGGAUCGCAGCUUGGUACAGUGAAGCUGACGAAGCAAGCUCCACCAGGUGGUGUGUAGCAGAGAGAUGCAACUAAAUGGCAGAAGGUCCCCCAACACCAAAACAACAAAAACUGAACUUCAGUGUAAAACCAGUAAGAGGAUAGGACUUGUAACGAACGUAGUCACAUGGGCUUUUUUUUUGUACAUAUUUUGGGGGGUACCGUUUGAUUGGUGGCGUCAUCUGACCACCUCAGUAAUUAGGUCGUCACUUGGUCACGUGAUGCUUUUGAUAGAGAACUUUAAGUUUCGUUUUAUACUCAGUUGGUGUGCGCAAGCGGCAACAAGAAAGACAAAGAACUGAAAUAAGGAAGAAAUGGACUUCUAGCAACUCCUAACCUUCUGGUUGGAGGGGCAUACGUGUUCACGGUGGUCUUGGACGUUUAUGCGGCAAAAAUUCAUUUAAUAAAACGUUUGAAACCAUCA